GGGAAGUUGCGGGUGCUAUACAUGCAAGUCGAGCGGACAGAUGGGAGCUUGCUCCCUGAAGUCAGCGGCGGACGGGUGAGUAACACGUGGGCAACCUGCCUGUAAGACUGGGAUAACUCCGGGAAACCGGGGCUAAUACCGGAUAAUUCUUUCCCUCACAUGAGGGAAAGCUGAAAGAUGGUUUCGGCUAUCACUUACAGAUGGGCCCGCGGCGCAUUAGCUAGUUGGUGAGGUAACGGCUCACCAAGGCAACGAUGCGUAGCCGACCUGAGAGGGUGAUCGGCCACACUGGGACUGAGACACGGCCCAGACUCCUACGGGAGGCAGCAGUAGGGAAUCUUCCGCAAUGGACGAAAGUCUGACGGAGCAACGCCGCGUGAGUGAUGAAGGUUUUCGGAUCGUAAAACUCUGUUGUUAGGGAAGAACAAGUACCGGAGUAACUGCCGGUACCUUGACGGUACCUAACCAGAAAGCCACGGCUAACUACGUGCCAGCAGCCGCGGUAAU
This 507-nucleotide ribosomal RNA is filed under the name Cytobacillus oceanisediminis. RNAcentral's name for it is "bacterial SSU rRNA". It matches the Rfam family "Bacterial small subunit ribosomal RNA", at positions 37 to 524 of the family's 1533-position model. Lineage: Bacteria; Bacillati; Bacillota; Bacilli; Caryophanales; Bacillaceae. The record is from RNAcentral.